CCUGUUUAACAAAAACAUGUCUUUUUGAGUUAUUUUUAAAGUCUGACCUGCCCACUGAAGUUAUUUAAAUGGCCGCAGUAUUCUAACUGUGCAAAGGUAGCAUAAUCAUUAGUCUUUUAAUUGAAGGCUGGUAUGAACGGUUGGACGAGGUAUAAGCUGUUUCAUAUAAAUUUAUAAUAGAAUUUUAUAUUUUAGUCAAAAAGCUAAAAUUUAAUUAAAAGACGAGAAGACCCUAUAAAUCUUUAUACUUCAUGCUGUUUAAAUUUUUUAGAUUAAUUUUAUUUUUAUAGUUUGAAGUAUUUUGUUGGGGUGAUAUUAAAAUUUAAUGAACUUUUAAUUAUUAAAAAUCAUUAAUUUAUGAAUUAUUGAUCCAUUAGUAGUGAUUAUAAGAUUAAGUUACUUUAGGGAUAACAGCGUAAUUUUUUUGGAGAGUUCAUAUCGAUAAAAAAGUUUGCGACCUCGAUGUUGGAUUAAGAUAUAUUUUUAGGUGU
RNAcentral lists this ribosomal RNA (491 nucleotides) under Bactrocera barringtoniae. Its description in RNAcentral is "partial large subunit ribosomal RNA". It matches the Rfam family "Bacterial large subunit ribosomal RNA", at positions 1799 to 2556 of the family's 2925-position model. The record is from RNAcentral. Lineage: Eukaryota; Metazoa; Arthropoda; Insecta; Diptera; Tephritidae.